UCAGAACGAACGCUGGCGGCAGGCCUAACACAUGCAAGUCGAGGGAGAAGCACUUCGGUGGGACCGGCGCACGGGUGCGUAACACGUGGGAAUCUACACUGAGGUAUGGGACAACGCAUGGAAACGUGUGCUAAUACCAUAUAAUAGCUCCGGCUCAAAGCUCCGGCGCCUCAGGAUGAGCCCGCGUCUGAUUAGGUAGUUGGUAGGGUAAAGGCCUACCAAGCCGACGAUCAGUAGAUGGGCUGAGAGGAUGAUCAUCCACACUGGUACUGAGACAUGGAUCAAACUCUUACGGGAGGCAGCAGUGAGGAAUAUUGCGCAAUGGAGGAAACUCUGACGCAGCCAUGCCGCGUGUGUGAAGAAGGCCUUAGGGUUGUAAAGCACUUUCAGAUGUGAGGAUAAUGACGGUAGCAUCAGAAGAAGCUCCGGCUAAAUUCGUGCCAGCAGCCGCGGUAAUACGAAUGGGGCAAGCGGUGUUCGGAAUCACUGGGCGUAAAGCGUACGUAGGCGGCUAUGAAAGUCAGGAGUGAAAUCCCAGGGCUCAACCCUGGAACUGCUCUUGAAACUCCAUAGCUAGAGACCUGGAGAGGUUGGCGGAAUUCCGAGUGUAGAGGUGAAAUUCGCAGAUAUUCGGAGGAACACCAGUGGCGAAGGCGGUCAACUGGACGGGUACUGACGCUGAGGUACGAAAGCGUGGGGAGCAAACAGGAUUAGAUACCCUGGUAGUCCACGCCGUAAACGAUGUAUGCUAUUGUUGGGAGUCUUAGGCUCUCAGUGACGGAGAGAAAUCAUUAAGCACACCGCCUGGGGAGUACGGUCGCAAGAUUAAAACUCAAAGGAAUUGACGGGGACCCGCACAAGCGGUGGAGCAUGUUGUUUAAUUCGAAGCAACGCGAAGAACCUUACCCACACUUAACUAUCCUCUUGGGGCUUUCAGAGAUGAUUUCGGUUCGGCCGGGGAGUGAAUAGGUGCUGCAUUGCUGUCGUCAGCUCGUGUCGUGAGAUGUUAGGUUAAGUCCUGCAACGAGCGCAACCCUUAUCGUAUGUUGCCAUCAUUUAGUUGGGAACUCAUGCGAGACUGCCGGUGACAAGCCGGAGGAAGGCGGGGACGACGUCAAGUCAUCAUGGCCCUUACGUGUGGGGCUACAAACGUGCUACAAUGGUAACGACAAUGGGCAGCCACUUCGCAAGAAGGCGCUAAUCUCCAAACGUUAUCUCAGUUCGGAUUGUUCUCUGCAACUCGAGAGCAUGAAGUUGGAAUCGCUAGUAAUCGUGCAUCAGCAUUCACGGUGAAUACGUUCCCGGGUCUUGUACACACCGCCCGUCACAUCAUGGGAGUUGGUUCUGCCCGAAGGCCGUGCGCUAACCUUUUAGGUAGCGGACCACGGUAGGAUCAGCGACUGGGAUG
This 1408-nucleotide ribosomal RNA is filed under the name uncultured prokaryote. RNAcentral's name for it is "partial 16S ribosomal RNA". It matches the Rfam family "Bacterial small subunit ribosomal RNA". The record is from RNAcentral.